AAGAGGGAGAUUUUUCAAACUUGAUGAAUUAUUGGAGGAGAAACUAAUGUUGGGAGAUAGAUAGCAACAGUUGUUAAGUAUAGUUGGUGAGUUAUGAUAUGUAAAAAAUUCACGCUCACCAUUAGGUCUCAAGUUUGAGUCUCUUGUUGUUAUCUACUCUCUCCCUACCUAUCCAGAAGAAUGUCACUGGGUCUAGCCUUGAAGUUUUCCACCGCAAAUUUUCCAUCGUAAAUUGGGGGUGGAUAAUUAAAUGUCCCUAAAUAAAAAAUCCGAGACCCCUUCCCGCUCACGCUCAAAUCUCAAACAAUUUGAUGAGUUUUGAGAAAUUGUUCCCGAUCAAAACGAUAGAUUGCUUCUUCUCCCUUCUCUUUGUGUAGAGAGAGAGGAAAAGCAUUUCCGCCCUGGCUCUGAAGACAGCAGAAAACCCUGCUCUUCGUGCAUAGAGAGAAGAGACCAGAUCCGCCUCCGCCCUUGGUUCUGAACACAGAAAACCCUGCUCUUCGUGCAUAGAUAGAAGAGACCAGAUCCACCUCCGCCCUGGUUUUGAACACAUGUAUGUCUCUUUCUUCUUCUGCUACUAUCUCUUCCAUCUAAAUCCUCGGUUCCAUUUUUUUUUUUGUAGAAAACCAUGCUAUUUGCCACCGGGAGGAGCUACUCCUCCGCCCAAAUCGUUACUUUGUGGGCUUUCUUCACCAAAAUUUCUGGUACCUGUUCUCUGUUUCUCCUGAUUUGAUGCUUUCAUGCUAUAUAGGGUUUUAAGGAUCCUCCAAGUGUUGGUUGGGUUUGUAAUGGACUAGCUAUACUGGGGGAUUAAUGGCAACGGACUUCGCCACAUUGGGUGGAACUUCAUCAUAGAUUUUUGAGUUUCCGAUAGUGUUUAUGUGAGAGUAACCGAUGACGAUUCUGGAUU
Molecule: long non-coding RNA, 910 nt
Organism: Macadamia integrifolia
Lineage: Eukaryota; Viridiplantae; Streptophyta; Magnoliopsida; Proteales; Proteaceae
Exons: 3
Source: RefSeq, a predicted model, not a curated record